RNAcentral lists this ribosomal RNA (580 nucleotides) under uncultured Bacillota bacterium. RNAcentral describes it as "bacterial SSU rRNA". The record is from RNAcentral. Lineage: Bacteria; Bacillati; Bacillota.
GAGUUUGAUCAUGGCUCAGGACGAACGCUGGCGGCACGCCUAACACAUGCAAGUCGAACGGAGAUAUUUUGGUUUACUGAGAUAUCUUAGUGGCGGACGGGUGAGUAACACGUGAGCAACCUGCCUCUGAGAGAGGGAUAGCUUCUGGAAACGGAUGGUAAUACCUCAUAACAUAACGAAGCCGCAUGACUUUGUUAUCAAAGAUUUAUCACUCAGAGAUGGGCUCGCGUCUGAUUAGAUAGUUGGUGAGGUAACGGCUCACCAAGUCGACGAUCAGUAGCCGGACUGAGAGGUUGAACGGCCACAUUGGGGCUGAGACACGGCCCAGACUCCUACGGGAGGCAGCAGUGGGGAAUAUUGCACAAUGGGGGAAACCCUGAUGCAGCGAUGCCGCGUGGAGGAAGAAGGUUUUCGGAUUGUAAACUCCUGUCUUAAAGGACGAUAAUGACGGUACUUAGGAGGAAGCUCCGGCUAACUACGUGCCAGCAGCCGCGGUAAUACKUAKGGAGCGAGCGUUGUCCGGAAUUACUGGGUGUAAAGGGAGCGUAGGYKGGGAUGGCAAGUCAGAUGUGAAAACUAU